RNAcentral lists this ribosomal RNA (494 nucleotides) under uncultured bacterium. Its description in RNAcentral is "partial 16S ribosomal RNA". It matches the Rfam family "Bacterial small subunit ribosomal RNA", at positions 28 to 506 of the family's 1533-position model. The record is from RNAcentral.
GACGAACGCUGGCGGCGUGCCUAAUACAUGCAAGUAGAACGCUGAAGGAGGAGCUUGCUUCUCUGGAUGAGUUGCGAACGGGUGAGUAACGCGUAGGUAACCUGCCUGGUAGCGGGGGAUAACUAUUGGAAACGAUAGCUAAUACCGCAUAAUAGUAGAUGUUGCAUGACAUUUGCUUAAAAGGUGCAAUUGCAUCACUACCAGAUGGACCUGCGUUGUAUUAGCUAGUUGGUGAGGUAACGGCUCACCAAGGCAACGAUACAUAGCCGACCUGAGAGGGUGAUCGGCCACACUGGGACUGAGACACGGCCCAGACUCCUACGGGAGGCAGCAGUAGGGAAUCUUCGGCAAUGGACGGAAGUCGGACCGAGCAACGCCGCGUGAGUGAAGAAGGUUUUCGGAUCGUAAAGCUCUGUUGUAAGAGAAGAACGAGUGUGAGAGUGGAAAGUUCACACUGUGACGGUAUCUUACCAGAAAGGGACGGCUAACUACGU